This 741-nucleotide ribosomal RNA is filed under the name Triticum aestivum (bread wheat). RNAcentral describes it as "partial small subunit ribosomal RNA". The record is from RNAcentral. Lineage: Eukaryota; Viridiplantae; Streptophyta; Magnoliopsida; Poales; Poaceae.
AUGGCUGGGACAAGUCAUAAGUCAAAACAGGAUGGACCUGCUGGAUCAAGCCAUGACGACCUUGCAUCUCAUGGGUAUGAAGAGCAUCAAACACAACCACAGAGCAAUGCACCAAUAACUGGGUACAAGUGUAUGAGAACUAAAGCAGCUGCUGCAAGGGGGAAGCGCCCUAAUGAUAUCAUUAGUAACGAGAAUAGCAACGAGAGCCAAGCUGCAGAUGCUGGGAAUAAAAAUAUCGAAUGUGCAGACGUCGACCAACCUCCAAAAGCAAAACGCCAGAAGACGGGAGGAACUAAGGGUCGUAGGAACAGGGCAUCCCCUGCAAGGCUCUUCAAGUUGAACAAGGACUUGGUUCCUGACCAAAAGGGUGUCAUCAUCGGAAAAGAAUUUGGCGGCAUUCUGGACCUUGCAGCGAGUAGCAUGCCCGGAGAUUUUAGCCAGUGGAUAAUGAAGCAUUACGACCCGGAGAUUUCGCAGAUAGUCAUUCCAGAAAGGGGGAAGAUUCCUGUAGAUGUCGCAAGUGUCCGUAGGAUAUGGGGUUUGCCCAACAGGGGCAGGAAGCUGUUGUACCUAGACUCUCUGGAUGUUGAUGAGCCAAUCCCGAACUUGGUACCAAGGGUUUCAGUCUGGAAUUUAGAUUUAAUCUUCAGAGUUAUCAAGAAGGACAGGAAGGCUCCAGGAGAAUAUGGCCAAUUGCGGGACAAAUGGUUGAUCACCAUGGGGGGGGGGGGUAAGUGCUGA